AGGACGAACGCUGGCGGUGUGCUUAACACAUGCAAGUGGUGCGACGAACCAGAGCUUGCUCUGGGGCAAAGCCGCGAACGGGUGAGUAACACGUGGGUAAUCUACCCCGAUGACCGGGACAACCCGAGGAAACUCGGGCUAAUACCGGAUGUGGUACGGAGACAUAAGUCUCUUUACUAAAGGUAGCUUCGGCUUCCGCAUUGGGAGGGGCCCGCGGCCCAUUAGCUAGUUGGUGGGGUCAAGGCCUACCAAGGCAACGAUGGGUAGCUGGUCUGAGAGGACGAUCAGCCACACUGGGACUGAGACACGGCCCAGACUCCUACGGGAGGCAGCAGUGGGGAAUCUUGCGCAAUGCGCGAAAGCGUGACGCAGCAACACCGCGUGAGGGAAGACGGCCUUAGGGUUGUAAACCUCUUUCAGAUGGGACGAAGGUGAUGCGGUGAAUAGCCGAUGUCAUUGACAGUACCGUCAGAAGAAGCUCCGGCUAACUACGUG
Molecule: ribosomal RNA, 495 nt
Filed under: uncultured bacterium
Lineage: Bacteria
Description: bacterial SSU rRNA
Rfam family: Bacterial small subunit ribosomal RNA
Source: RNAcentral